AUUGAACGCUGGCGGCAGGCCUAACACAUGCAAGUCGAACGAGUGGCGGACGGGUGAGUAAUGUCUGGGAAACUGCCUGAUGGAGGGGGAUAACUACUGGAAAAGGUAGCUAAUACCGCAUAACAUCGGAUGUGACCAGAUGGGAUUAGCUAGUAGGUGGGGUAAAGGCUCACCUGGGCGAAGAUCCCUAGCUGGUCUGAGAGGAUGACCCUCCACACGGGAACUGAGACACGGUCCAGACUCCUACGGGAGUCAGCAGUGGGGAAUAUUGCACAAUGGGCGCAAGCCUGAUGCAGCCAUGCCGCGUGUAUGCAGAAGGCCUUCGGGUUUUAAAGUACUUUCAGCGGGUAGGCGUUACCCGCAGAAGAAGCACCGGCUAACUCCGUGCCAGCAGCCGCGGUAAUAC
RNAcentral lists this ribosomal RNA (406 nucleotides) under uncultured bacterium. Its description in RNAcentral is "partial 16S ribosomal RNA". It matches the Rfam family "Bacterial small subunit ribosomal RNA", at positions 30 to 526 of the family's 1533-position model. The record is from RNAcentral.